RNAcentral lists this ribosomal RNA (485 nucleotides) under Variovorax sp. CL1.47. Its description in RNAcentral is "bacterial SSU rRNA". It matches the Rfam family "Bacterial small subunit ribosomal RNA", at positions 17 to 497 of the family's 1533-position model. The record is from RNAcentral. Lineage: Bacteria; Pseudomonadati; Pseudomonadota; Betaproteobacteria; Burkholderiales; Comamonadaceae.
CCCUGGCUCAGAUUGAACGCUGGCGGCAUGCCUUACACAUGCAAGUCGAACGGCAGCACGGGAGCAAUCCUGGUGGCGAGUGGCGAACGGGUGAGUAAUACAUCGGAACGUGCCCAAUCGUGGGGGAUAACGCAGCGAAAGCUGUGCUAAUACCGCAUAAGAUCUACGGAUGAAAGCAGGGGAUCGCAAGACCUUGCGCGAAUGGAGCGGCUGAUGGCAGAUUAGGUAGUUGGUGAGGUAAAGGCUCACCAAGCCUUCGAUCUGUAGCUGGUCUGAGAGGACGACCAGCCACACUGGGACUGAGACACGGCCCAGACUCCUACGGGAGGCAGCAGUGGGGAAUUUUGGACAAUGGGCGCAAGCCUGAUCCAGCCAUGCCGCGUGCAGGAUGAAGGCCUUCGGGUUGUAAACUGCUUUUGUACGGAACGAAACGGUCCCUUCUAAUACAGGGGGCUAAUGACGGUACCGUAAGAAUAAGCACCGGC